AGUGGGGGAUAACGUCCCGAAAGGGACGCUAAUACCGCAUAACAUCCUGCCUUUGGAAAGGCGGAGAUCAAAGCCGGGGAUCGCAAGACCUGGCGCUUGGAGAGGGGCCCGCGUCUGAUU
RNAcentral lists this ribosomal RNA (120 nucleotides) under uncultured bacterium. RNAcentral's name for it is "partial 16S ribosomal RNA". The record is from RNAcentral.